RNAcentral lists this long non-coding RNA (340 nucleotides) under Lathyrus oleraceus (garden pea). RNAcentral's name for it is "Pisum sativum (pea) long non-coding RNA (PSAT_LNC022611)". The record is from RNAcentral. Lineage: Eukaryota; Viridiplantae; Streptophyta; Magnoliopsida; Fabales; Fabaceae.
UUGGUGUUGAUGAGCCCAAUUCUGCAGUAUAUUUUGCACGCAUGUGUGGUCGUAUGUUGUCUGUGCAGUUCUAUACUGCGGGGUCUUUUUCAUGUAUGGGCUAUUUUUUGAGUUGUUUUAUUGUCUUUAUUUGUCUCGAUUAUUUUGUACUUUUAAUUUAGUUAAAAGUUGUGUGAGAACUCUGAUAUGUUUCACUGAAGGAUGUUUAGUGCACACAAUAUUUGUUUAAAUAUAUAAUAAUUAGAAGCUUUAGUUGGAAAAGAGUAAAACAAAUUAUAUAAGGUUUUUAUGCUCUUAAUUACGUAUUUAUAAUAUAAAUGGUUUGAUUUUCCUGUUUGAU